RNAcentral lists this ribosomal RNA (143 nucleotides) under Haastia sinclairii. RNAcentral describes it as "5.8S ribosomal RNA". It matches the Rfam family "5.8S ribosomal RNA", at positions 1 to 137 of the family's 154-position model. From Rfam's summary of the family: 5.8S ribosomal RNA (5.8S rRNA) is a component of the large subunit of the eukaryotic ribosome. It is transcribed by RNA polymerase I as part of the 45S precursor that also contains 18S and 28S rRNA. Functionally, it is thought that 5.8S rRNA may be involved in ribosome translocation. Lineage: Eukaryota; Viridiplantae; Streptophyta; Magnoliopsida; Asterales; Asteraceae. The record is from RNAcentral.
AAAAGACUCUCGGCAACGGAUAUCUCGGCUCACGCAUCGAUGAAGAACGUAGCAAAAUGCGAUACUUGGUGUGAAUUGCAGAAUCCCGUGAACCAUCGAGUUUUUGAACGCAAGUUGCGCCCGAAGCCUUUCGGUCGAGGGCA